CAGUCGCCGCGGUAAUACGAAGGGGGCUAGCGUUGUUCGGAAUCACUGGGCGUAAAGGGUGCGUAGGCGGAUUCUUAAGUCAGGGGUGAAAUCCCGAGGCUCAACCUCGGAACUGCCUUUGAUACUGGGGAUCUUGAGUCCGGAAGAGGUGAGUGGAACUGCGAGUGUAGAGGUGAAAUUCGUAGAUAUUCGCAAGAACACCGGUGGCGAAGGCGGCUCACUGGUCCGGAACUGACGCUGAGGCACGACAGCGUGGGGAGCAAACAGGAUUAGAUACCCCCGUAGUCCCUGUCUCUUAUAC
Molecule: ribosomal RNA, 301 nt
Filed under: uncultured bacterium
Lineage: Bacteria
Description: partial 16S ribosomal RNA
Rfam family: Bacterial small subunit ribosomal RNA
Source: RNAcentral